This 468-nucleotide ribosomal RNA is filed under the name uncultured bacterium. RNAcentral's name for it is "partial 16S ribosomal RNA". It matches the Rfam family "Bacterial small subunit ribosomal RNA", at positions 28 to 507 of the family's 1533-position model. The record is from RNAcentral.
GACGAACGCUGGCGGCGUGCUUAACACAUGCAAGUCGAACGGAAAGGCCCUGCUUUUGUGGGGUGCUCGAGUGGCGAACGGGUGAGUAACACGUGAGUAACCUGCCCUUGACUUUGGGAUAACUUCAGGAAACUGGGGCUAAUACCGGAUAGGAGCUCCUGCUGCAUGGUGGGGGUUGGAAAGUUUCGGCGGUUGGGGAUGGACUCGCGGCUUAUCAGCUUGUUGGUGGGGUAGUGGCUUACCAAGGCUUUGACGGGUAGCCGGCCUGAGAGGGUGACCGGCCACAUUGGGAAUGAGAUACGGCCCAGACUCCUACGGGAGGCAGCAGUGGGGAAUAUUGCACAAUGGGCGGAAGCCUGAUGCAGCAACGCCGCGUGCGGGAUGACGGCCUUCGGGUUGUAAACCGCUUUCGCCUGUGACGAAGCGUGAGUGACGGUAAUGGGUAAAGAAGCACCGGCUAAAUAAGUG